Molecule: ribosomal RNA, 499 nt
Filed under: uncultured bacterium
Lineage: Bacteria
Description: partial 16S ribosomal RNA
Rfam family: Bacterial small subunit ribosomal RNA
Source: RNAcentral
GACGAACGCUGGCGGCGUGCCUAAUACAUGCAAGUCGAGCGAAGAUUUUCUGGUGCUUGCACUAGCAAAACUUAGCGGCGAACGGGUGAGUAACACGUAAAGAACCUUCCACAUAGACAGGGACUACUAUUGGAAACGAUAGCUACUACUGGAUAACAGUAUUUCUUGCUUGAGGGUUAUUAAAAUGUUGGUUUUGCUAACACUAUGAGCUUGCUCUGCGGUGCAUUAGCUAGUUGGUGGGGUAAAGGCCCACCAAGGCGACGAUGCAUAGCCGACGUGAGAGGGUGAUCGGCCACACGGGGGGGUGGACACGGCCCAUGCGCCUACGAGAGGCAGCAGUAGGGAAUCUUACGCAGUGGGCGAAAGCCUUGCGGAGCAACGCCGCGUGAGUGGAGGAGGAUUUCGGUGCGUAAAGAUCGGUUGUUAGGGAAGAAUGGAUAUGUAGUAACUAGACAUGUAAGUGACGGUACCUGGCCAGAAAGCCACGGCUAACUACGUG